RNAcentral lists this ribosomal RNA (1577 nucleotides) under Weissella confusa. RNAcentral's name for it is "bacterial SSU rRNA". It matches the Rfam family "Bacterial small subunit ribosomal RNA". The record is from RNAcentral. Lineage: Bacteria; Bacillati; Bacillota; Bacilli; Lactobacillales; Lactobacillaceae.
CAAAUUGAGAGUUUGAUCCUGGCUCAGGAUGAACGCUGGCGGCGUGCCUAAUACAUGCAAGUCGAACGCUUUGUGGUUCAACUGAUUUGAAGAGCUUGCUCAGAUAUGACGAUGGACAUUGCAAAGAGUGGCGAACGGGUGAGUAACACGUGGGAAACCUACCUCUUAGCAGGGGAUAACAUUUGGAAACAGAUGCUAAUACCGUAUAACAAUGACAACCGCAUGGUUGUUAUUUAAAAGAUGGUUCUGCUAUCACUAAGAGAUGGUCCCGCGGUGCAUUAGCUAGUUGGUAAGGUAAUGGCUUACCAAGGCGAUGAUGCAUAGCCGAGUUGAGAGACUGAUCGGCCACAAUGGGACUGAGACACGGCCCAUACUCCUACGGGAGGCAGCAGUAGGGAAUCUUCCACAAUGGGCGAAAGCCUGAUGGAGCAACGCCGCGUGUGUGAUGAAGGGUUUCGGCUCGUAAAACACUGUUGUAAGAGAAGAAUGACAUUGAGAGUAACUAUUCAAUGUGUGACGGUAUCUUACCAGAAAGGAACGGCUAAAUACGUGCCAGCAGCCGCGGUAAUACGUAUGUUCCAAGCGUUAUCCGGAUUUAUUGGGCGUAAAGCGAGCGCAGACGGUUAUUUAAGUCUGAAGUGAAAGCCCUCAGCUCAACUGAGGAAUUGCUUUGGAAACUGGAUGACUUGAGUGCAGUAGAGGAAAGUGGAACUCCAUGUGUAGCGGUGAAAUGCGUAGAUAUAUGGAAGAACACCAGUGGCGAAGGCGGCUUUCUGGACUGUAACUGACGUUGAGGCUCGAAAGUGUGGGUAGCAAACAGGAUUAGAUACCCUGGUAGUCCACACCGUAAACGAUGAGUGCUAGGUGUUUGAGGGUUUCCGCCCUUAAGUGCCGCAGCUAACGCAUUAAGCACUCCGCCUGGGGAGUACGACCGCAAGGUUGAAACUCAAAGGAAUUGACGGGGACCCGCACAAGCGGUGGAGCAUGUGGUUUAAUUCGAAGCAACGCGAAGAACCUUACCAGGUCUUGACAUCCCUUGACAACUCCAGAGAUGGAGCGUUCCCUUCGGGGACAAGGUGACAGGUGGUGCAUGGUUGUCGUCAGCUCGUGUCGUGAGAUGUUGGGUUAAGUCCCGCAACGAGCGCAACCCUUAUUACUAGUUGCCAGCAUUUAGUUGGGCACUCUAGUGAGACUGCCGGUGACAAACCGGAGGAAGGUGGGGAUGACGUCAAAUCAUCAUGCCCCUUAUGACCUGGGCUACACACGUGCUACAAUGGCGUAUACAACGAGUUGCCAACCCGCGAGGGUGAGCUAAUCUCUUAAAGUACGUCUCAGUUCGGAUUGUAGGCUGCAACUCGCCUACAUGAAGUCGGAAUCGCUAGUAAUCGCGGAUCAGCACGCCGCGGUGAAUACGUUCCCGGGUCUUGUACACACCGCCCGUCACACCAUGAGAGUUUGUAACACCCAAAGCCGGUGGGGUAACCUUCGGGAGCCAGCCGUCUAAGGUGGGACAGAUGAUUAGGGUGAAGUCGUAACAAGGUAGCCGUAGGAGAACCUGCGGCUGGAUCACCUCCUUU